Helianthus annuus (common sunflower) is the source of this 1650-nucleotide long non-coding RNA. RefSeq lists it as uncharacterized. The record is from RefSeq and is a predicted model, not a curated record. The transcript is spliced from 3 exons. Lineage: Eukaryota; Viridiplantae; Streptophyta; Magnoliopsida; Asterales; Asteraceae.
UAAAAACUUAAAUGGACCAUAUAUGUAGACUCUAAGGCUAUGCGGUAUGGGGUUCGUCCCCACUGCGUCCCGGAACGGCGCCGCCCUCCUCUCCGUUUCGAGCCCUCCGUCGCCGCUCCUACAUCGUCACCAUCGUCGGGUUCUCGACGCCAAGGACGGUCCUCCCCCUCUCUCACACACCAAUAAACCCCCAAAUCCAAAAUCAAACCUUCUGAGCCCACAAUCGGUGAAGCUGAGCAUGUAAUUGAAACAUUUCUCCGGUGAAGAAAGGUGCGAUGGAAGGCGGUGGUGGUGUAGGUACGGCCGGCGGCGGUGGUGGACCGAACGGCGGCGAUGUGAUAGGGUUUGUCUCUAACUUGACGGAGGUGGUGGUGUUCAUGGCUGCGAGAGUGAAAGGAGUAAAGAGGCGGAGGUUUUGAUGAGGUGUUGAUACAUAUUAAUGAAUUUAUUUUUCUGGGAUGGCAAGAGCAGUGCCGAGGAUCUGCAGACUGUUGCUGCUGAUCUCAGAUCAUCCAUCUGGAAACAAAUGAUCUCGUACUACAAAAUCCUUCCAAUCUACAAGUCAGAUCAAAAGUUAGCUAAACAAGGAACAUGUUAAAACUGUUGUUCACACCAUAACAAAGGGUUAAUCUUGCAGCGAAGUGAUUGCUGAGUUGAAGGAAGCUGGUGCAACUGGAAUUUCAAAGGCUAUAGUUGCAAGCUUAGUUUAAUUUAUUUGUUAAAAGUUAAAAAAAAAAAGUGGAAGAUUAAAAAAAUAAAAAAACAUAAAAGUGGUGGGGUAGGACCAUCCUCCCAUUUCCACUAGUUUUGUGGGAUGGACCAUCCUUAGGAGGACUAAGAUGUGGCGCCUACGUGGCGGACCAUCCUCCAAGGGAGGAUGGGCACCAUACCCUCUAGCCUAAACGUCUAUUUAUUUUUUUUUUUUUGAACGGAGACUCUAAACGUCUAUUGUUUCUCCAUAUGUUGUCAAUUAAUACUAUACUAGUAUUUUGCCCGCCGUGCGUUGCGGCGGCGCGUGACGGGUGGAAACAUAUAGUAGGACAAAACAUGAUUCGCAAAACGUAGUGCGUAAACGACAAUUACAAAAAAAGUGUAAAACAUAAAGGUAGACACAAAAUGUAAAACACAAUGUCUAAGACAUUUCGUAAAACACAAUGCAUUGGCAUUUGCAAAAGCAGGAGUUGUAGUCUAAGGGUUACAAUUGCAAUCUUUUUAAAGUUGGGCGUGUGUAAAAAUAGAGUAAUAAUGCAAGGGGUAAAAAACGAAGUCUAAAAAAGACAAAGUGUAAAAGAAUAGGGGUGGUGGCGGAAAUGUGUAAAAGAUAAGGGGGUGUUGGUGGAAAUGUAAAAGAAAAGGGUUGGUGGCGUAACUAUGUAAGAGCUAAGGGGGUGAUGGUGGAAAACCAAAGUAGAUGGUUGGUGCUGGCAAAGUUUGAAAGAUGAGGUUGCGGUUUUGGAAAUUCAAAGUAGAAGGUUUAGGAACUAAAUUUGUCAUUUUAUGAAACUUUGAAGGUUACAAAGUCAAGGAACUAAAAUUGCAAAAUCAUGAAACUAUAGGGGCGGGGAGGCAAAGCCGGUGGGAAACCUCACCAACUUUUUUGAUUAUGAUAAUGUGUACUAUUGUUUGCUGAUAUUAGUUGAUUGGUUUUCA